UCAGGUCCAAAACUCCUAGAGCACUGGGUUGUUUUAAAUCUUGUUACAGAUCCCAAGUCUGUGGCGCAUGGCUAUUUGUAGUUAUUACCAGUUAGCAACUCUAAAUACUUAACUCUUUUAAGAAGUGAAGGGUCAACAGCUUGUCAAACAAUUGUUUCCAAACAACCACUCAUUUUGUAUGUUAUCACAAGAGCAAUUUGUGCAUAGAUAAAUCCAGAAUAUGUUCAAGUGACCACUGUUCUUUGACAGAACACCGCAGAAUGGAUUAGAAGAACACCACAACCCAGCCACCGGUUUCCGUGUGGAUGAUGCACUGAGCAAGAGAAGCAGGGCCAAAAUGAGAGCAGCCGCCUCACCCCAUAUGACUCACUGUUGUCAGUUUCCGAGUCACAGAACCACUUGCAGGAACGGCUCUAGAGAAUUUGGGAAAAAAGGAAAGAAAAAAGAAGCUUCCAUUUUUUUUUUUGAAUGGAAGAAGGAGAACAUAAAGAAAAAAGAAGGGUUCUCAAAUAUGUAGCCUGAAGCCUUGUCAGAUUUGUAUGGGGAGCUCCUCCCAUGGAGAAGUGGUGGCAGGGAAGAAAGCACAAAGGUGCAAAUGUUUCUACACUCCCCCUAUCAAAUCUGUCCCUGAGGUUAUCGCAGAUUAGAAGGCGAAAAAACCACACUCGCGUUGACAUAUUUUCCGAGCUCAUGCAGUCCUCCCACACUGAUAGAACACAGCUGAAUGCAUGGAGGCAUUCAGUGGCAGAGGCCAGGAAAGCAUUAAGUGAGUGCGAUGAGAAGAGGCAGGGUGCAAUGCUGAGGCUAAUGGGGGAGCAAACGGACAUGCUCAGGCGUCUGGUGGAGCUGCGGGAAAGCCAACAAGAGCACAGACAGCCACUGCAUCUACUGUACAACCGCCUUCCCUCCUCCCCAUGUUCCAUAGCUUCCUCACCCAGACGCCCAAGAACGCGGGGUCGGGGGGGAGGCUCCGGGCACCCAGCCACUCCACUCCAGAGGAUAGCCCAAGCAACAGAAGGCUGUCAUUCAAAGAGUUUUGAUUUGUAGUGUAGCUACAAUAAGCAAUGUGCCCUUGUCCUUGCCUCCUCCCGUCCUCCCCCACCUCACCCUACCCCACCCAGGCUACCUUAUCAGUUAUCUCCCUUUUUUAAAAAUUCAUUAAAAAA
Non-coding RNA from Caretta caretta (loggerhead turtle), 1166 nucleotides. Lineage: Eukaryota; Metazoa; Chordata; Testudines; Cheloniidae. The record is from RefSeq and is a predicted model, not a curated record.